This 305-nucleotide ribosomal RNA is filed under the name uncultured bacterium. Its description in RNAcentral is "bacterial SSU rRNA". It matches the Rfam family "Bacterial small subunit ribosomal RNA", at positions 333 to 655 of the family's 1533-position model. The record is from RNAcentral.
GGCAACCUACGGGGCGCAGCAGUGGGGAAUAUUGCACAAUGGGGGAAACCCUGAUGCAGCGACGCCGCGUGAGUGAAGAAGUAAUUCGUUAUGUAAAGCUCUAUCAGCAGGGAAGAAACAGACGGUACCUGAGUAAGAAGCCCCGGCUAACUACGUGCCAGCAGCCGCGGUAAUACGUAGGGGGCAAGCGUUAUCCGGAUUUACUGGGUGUAAAGGGAGCGUAGACGGACUUGCAAGUCUGAUGUGAAAAUCCGGGGCCCAACCCCGGAACUGCAUUGGAAACUGUAUAUCUAGAGUGUCGGAGG